CCCGCUGAACUUAAGCAUAUCAAUAAGCGGAGGAAAAGAAACUAACAAGGAUUCCCCUAGUAACUGCGAGUGAAGAGGGAAAAGCUCAAAUUUAAAAUCUGGCAGUCUUUGAUUGUCCGAGUUGUAAUUUAGAGAAGUGUUACCCGUGUUGGCCCGUGUACAAGUUUCCUGGAAUGGAACGUGAUAGAGGGUGAGAAUCCCGUCUUUGACACGGACUACCAAUGCAUUGUGGUAUGCUCUCGAAGAGUCGAGUUGUUUGGGAAUGCAGCUCUAAAUGGGUGGUAAAUUCCAUCUAAAGCUAAAUAUUGUGGAGAGCCCGAUAGCGAACAAGUACCGUGAGUGAUAGAUGAAAAGAACUUUGGAAAGAGAGUUAAACAGUACGUGAAAUUGCUGAAAGGGAAACGCUUGAAGUCAGUCGCGUUAGCCGGGGAUCAGCCUUCCCUUUGGUUGGUGUACUUUCUGCAUGACGUGUCACCAUCCGUUUUGACCGAUGGAUACAGAGCUUGAGGAAUGUGAACACUUCGGGUGUGUAUAUAUCCUCUUGUCGUAUACAUCGAGAGGGACUAAGGAACUCAGCCCCUCGCCACGUCCGGUUUCUAACCACAUACUUGCUAAGUUCGCUUCCUUAAUGUCUUUAAAUCGACCAGCUCGGAACACGG
This 659-nucleotide ribosomal RNA is filed under the name uncultured fungus. RNAcentral's name for it is "eukaryotic LSU rRNA". It matches the Rfam family "Eukaryotic large subunit ribosomal RNA", at positions 24 to 664 of the family's 3401-position model. Lineage: Eukaryota; Fungi. The record is from RNAcentral.